Molecule: ribosomal RNA, 109 nt
Filed under: Streptomyces glebosus
Lineage: Bacteria; Bacillati; Actinomycetota; Actinomycetes; Kitasatosporales; Streptomycetaceae
Source: RNAcentral
GGUGGUCAUUGCGUUAGGGAAACGCCCGGUCACAUUCCGAACCCGGAAGCUAAGCCUUUCAGCGCCGAUGGUACUGCAGGGGGGCCCUGUGGGAGAGUAGGUCGCCGCC